This 87-nucleotide transfer RNA is filed under the name Candidatus Kaiserbacteria bacterium RIFCSPHIGHO2_01_FULL_51_33. RNAcentral's name for it is "tRNA-Ser". It matches the Rfam family "tRNA". From Rfam's summary of the family: Transfer RNA (tRNA) molecules are approximately 80 nucleotides in length. The record is from RNAcentral. RNAcentral also lists the same sequence under 2 other names. Lineage: Bacteria; Candidatus Kaiseribacteriota.
GGAGACGUGGCAGAGUGGCCGAAUGCGGCUCCGUGCUAAGGAGUUAGGGGAGUAAUCCUCUCGGAGGUUCGAAUCCUCCCGUCUCCG